UACGGGGGGAGCAAGCGUUGUUCGGAUUUACUGGGCGUAAAGGGCGCGUAGGCGGCCAGCACAAGUCAGUUGUGAAAUCUCCGAGCUUAACUCGGAAAGGUCAACUGAUACUGUGCGGCUAGAGUGCGGAAGGGGCAACUGGAAUUCCCGGUGUAGCGGUGAAAUGCGCAGAUAUCGGGAGGAACACCAAUGGCGAAGGCAGCUCGCUGGGACGUGACUGACGCUGAGACACGAAAGCCAGGGGAGCGAACGGG
This 254-nucleotide ribosomal RNA is filed under the name uncultured bacterium. RNAcentral's name for it is "partial 16S ribosomal RNA". It matches the Rfam family "Bacterial small subunit ribosomal RNA", at positions 524 to 776 of the family's 1533-position model. The record is from RNAcentral.